UGCUACUUUACUGUUUUAGACUCAAAGGCAAACUUGAAGAACAGAAACCCGAAAGAGUAAAGCCUUUUAUGACUGGAGCUGCAGAGCAAAUUAAGCACAUCCUUGCUAAUUUCAAUAACUACCAGUUUUUUAUUGGUGAAAACAUGAAUCCAGAUGGUAUGGUUGCUCUCCUGGACUACCGUGAAGAUGGUGUGACUCCAUUCAUGAUUUUCUUUAAGGAUGGCUUAGAGAUGGAAAAAUGUUAACAAAAUGGAUCUAUCAUCUGUCACCAUAAUUGGCUGCUGCUUACCAUCACACAACACCAGGACUUAGGACAAAUGGGACUGAUGUCAUCUUGAACUUUGUUUUGACCGUGAUUUAUUUGGAGUGGAGGCAUUUUUUUUUUUUUUUUUAAAGAAAAAACAUGUCAUGUGGGUUGUCUAAAAAUAAAGUGCAUUUAAAUUCACUUUACUCCUCUUUACUGUGAUUGUUCCGACUAUGGUAGCGUCUGAGAAGCUAGAGCCUGGUUGAGCGUCGCUAGAAUGCUAAAGUCUCUUCAGUUAACUGCCACAGUGGGGACUCUACAAGAGUGGGAAUGCAAGAACCUCAGUUGCAGUGAAGGGAGAGGAGAGAAGUGGACCCUAACUUUCAUCACUUCCAGUGAAAGAGCUUACCAAAAGCACAAAAAGACUAACUAGUUGGAAACAAGUACUGUCUGCUGGACUAAUGUCAGAUUCCUGGUAACUAGAGGCUGGCAAGCUGGCCUCUGCCACCUUAGAGUUGUACAAACAUGACAGACCAUGGGUGGUGGCCAAUUUUUUAGAUGGAGGAAAGUCAGUUCCUGGUGGGGUGGGAUGUGAGGCACCUUGGUCCAGCUGGCUCAAGUACUGCUUGCUCAGUGUUCUUCUGGCUGUGUGUGCCCCAAAUAACUACAGAGUGACUUCCUGGGGAGUGCCAGAAGCCCAUGCUUCAUGGGGCUCAGAUGUUGAAG
This is a long non-coding RNA of Mastomys coucha (southern multimammate mouse), 970 nucleotides long. RefSeq lists it as uncharacterized. NCBI's taxonomy places the organism in Eukaryota, Metazoa, Chordata, Mammalia, Rodentia, Muridae. The record is from RefSeq and is a predicted model, not a curated record. The transcript has 4 exons.